This is a non-coding RNA of Oryza glaberrima (African rice), 205 nucleotides long. Lineage: Eukaryota; Viridiplantae; Streptophyta; Magnoliopsida; Poales; Poaceae. The record is from Rfam.
UAUAAGUGUAGUUACGGGUUUCCAUAUCCAAUGUUUAAUCGUCCGUCUUACUUACAAAAUAUAUAUAAUUAAUAUUUUUAUUGUUAUUAGAUGAUAAAAUAUAAAUAGUAAUUAAUGUGUGACUAUUUUUUUAGUAUUUUCACAAAUUUUUCAAAUAAGACAAACGGUCAAAUAUUGGAUACUGAAACCCACAACUGCACUUAUA